This 876-nucleotide ribosomal RNA is filed under the name Aerococcus sp. DFO-AE7-6c. RNAcentral's name for it is "bacterial SSU rRNA". It matches the Rfam family "Bacterial small subunit ribosomal RNA", at positions 70 to 930 of the family's 1533-position model. The record is from RNAcentral. Lineage: Bacteria; Bacillati; Bacillota; Bacilli; Lactobacillales; Aerococcaceae.
GAUGAAGUGCUUGCACUUCUGACGUUAGCGGCGAACGGGUGAGUAACACGUAAGGAAUCUACCUAUAAGCGGGGGAUAACAUUCGGAAACGGGUGCUAAUACCGCAUAAUAUCUUCUUCCGCAUGGAAGAAGAUUGAAAGACGGCUCUGCUGUCACUUAUAGAUGACCUUGCGGUGCAUUAGUUAGUUGGUGGGGUAACGGCCUACCAAGACGAUGAUGCAUAGCCGACCUGAGAGGGUGAUCGGCCACAUUGGGACUGAGACACGGCCCAAACUCCUACGGGAGGCAGCAGUAGGGAAUCUUCCGCAAUGGGCGAAAGCCUGACGGAGCAAUGCCGCGUGAGUGAAGAAGGCCUUCGGGUCGUAAAACUCUGUUAUAAGAGAAGAACAAAUUGUAGAGUAACUGCUACAGUCUUGACGGUAUCUUAUCAGAAAGCCACGGCUAACUACGUGCCAGCAGCCGCGGUAAUACGUAGGUGGCAAGCGUUGUCCGGAUUUAUUGGGCGUAAAGGGAGCGCAGGUGGUUUCUUAAGUCUGAUGUGAAAGCCCACGGCUUAACCGUGGAGGGUCAUUGGAAACUGGGAAACUUGAGUACAGAAGAGGAAUGUGGAACUCCAUGUGUAGCGGUGGAAUGCGUAGAUAUAUGGAAGAACACCAGUGGCGAAGGCGACAUUCUGGUCUGUUACUGACACUGAGGCUCGAAGCGUGGGGAGCAAACAGGAUUAGAUACCCUGGUAGUCCACGCCGUAAACGAUGAGUGCUAGGUGUUGGAGGGUUUCCGCCCUUCAGUGCCGCAGUUAACGCAUUAAGCACUCCGCCUGGGGAGUACGACCGCAAGGUUGAGACUCAAAGGAAUUGACGGGGAACUCGCACAAGC